Molecule: non-coding RNA, 174 nt
Filed under: Staphylococcus microti
Lineage: Bacteria; Bacillati; Bacillota; Bacilli; Caryophanales; Staphylococcaceae
Description: Lysine sequence
Rfam family: Lysine riboswitch aptamer
About the family: Riboswitches are metabolite binding domains within certain messenger RNAs that serve as precision sensors for their corresponding targets. Allosteric rearrangement of mRNA structure is mediated by ligand binding, and this results in modulation of gene expression. This family includes riboswitches that sense lysine in a number of genes involved in lysine metabolism, including lysC.
Source: RNAcentral
AAUUUAGUUAGAGGUUGCAUUUUUAAUGAGUCGCUUGUCAGAAGCAGAGAUGAUGCGUAUGUUGAACAAGUUAAAGGUAAAAAUGCCGAAGCGAGUUAUCGUCAUCCAGAUAACUUGUUGGGCUAGUGAUCGAAAGGUGCUAGACUGUCACAAACGUGAUGUGCUACUUAUUUG